AAUAAGAUCACUUUUUAGUUUUUUGAUACAAUGUUUUGACUCUUUGACUUAUUUAAAAUUUUUUUAUGAUUAAUAUUUUUGUUCUUACUAGAUGAUAAAAUAUGAAUAGUAUUUUAUGCAUGACUAUUUUUUAUUUUUUUAAGUUUUUAUAUGAAUUUUUUAAAUAAGACAAAUGGUUAAACGUUGGACACGGAAAA
RNAcentral lists this microRNA precursor (197 nucleotides) under Oryza brachyantha (malo sina). RNAcentral describes it as "MIR812 microRNA precursor family". It matches the Rfam family "MIR812 microRNA precursor family". The record is from Rfam by way of RNAcentral. Lineage: Eukaryota; Viridiplantae; Streptophyta; Magnoliopsida; Poales; Poaceae.